RNAcentral lists this ribosomal RNA (466 nucleotides) under uncultured bacterium. Its description in RNAcentral is "bacterial SSU rRNA". It matches the Rfam family "Bacterial small subunit ribosomal RNA", at positions 28 to 458 of the family's 1533-position model. The record is from RNAcentral.
GAUGAACGCUGGCGGCAUGCCUAAGACAUGCAAGUCGAACGAAGUGGCCCAUUGAAGAUUGCGUGCUUGCACAAGAUUGGAUUUGGAUUCCCACUUAGUGGCAGACGGGUGAGUAACACGUGGGUAACCUACCCUGGAGACUGGGAUAACUACUGGAAACGGUAGCUAAUACCGGAUGAUUCAUAAUUAGAUAACUAGUUAUGCUAAAAGGAGCGUUUGCUCCACUUCAGGAUGGGCUUGCGUUGUAUUAGCUAGUUGGUGAGGUAAUGGCUCACCAAGGCAACGAUGCAUAUCCGAACUGAGAGGUUGAUCGGACACAUUGGGACUGAGACACGGCCCAGACUCCUACGGGAGACGAGCAGUUAGGAAUAUGCGUCAAUGGGGGAAACCCUGAACGAGCAAUGCCGCGUGAGUGAUGAAGGUCUAUUGAUCGUAAAACUCUAGUUGUAAGGACGAAGAACGUGAC